RNAcentral lists this ribosomal RNA (253 nucleotides) under uncultured bacterium. Its description in RNAcentral is "partial 16S ribosomal RNA". It matches the Rfam family "Bacterial small subunit ribosomal RNA", at positions 524 to 776 of the family's 1533-position model. The record is from RNAcentral.
UACGGAGGGUGCGAGCGUUGUCCGGAAUCACUGGGCGUAAAGGGCGCGUAGGUGGCCCGUUAAGUGGCUGGUGAAAUCCCGCGGCUCAACUGCGGGGCUGCCGGUCAUACUGGCGAGCUAGAGCACGGUAGGGGCAGAUGGAAUUCCCGGUGUAGCGGUGGAAUGCGUAGAGAUCGGGAAGAAUACCAGUGGCGAAGGCGGUGAGCUGGGCAGUUGCUGACACUGAGGCGCGACAGCGUGGGGAGCAAACAGG